Molecule: transfer RNA, 82 nt
Filed under: Caudoviricetes sp.
Lineage: Duplodnaviria; Heunggongvirae; Uroviricota; Caudoviricetes
Description: tRNA-Leu
Rfam family: tRNA
About the family: Transfer RNA (tRNA) molecules are approximately 80 nucleotides in length. Their secondary structure includes four short double-helical elements and three loops (D, anti-codon, and T loops).
Source: RNAcentral
GCGGAUAUGGUGAAAUUGGCAGACACGUUAGAUUUAGGUUCUAAUGCAGAAAUGCAUGCAGGUUCAAGUCCUGUUAUCCGCA